Ameiurus melas (black bullhead) is the source of this 73-nucleotide non-coding RNA. Lineage: Eukaryota; Metazoa; Chordata; Actinopteri; Siluriformes; Ictaluridae. The record is from the annotation of a GenBank genome assembly.
GGCACAAUGGCUUAGUGGUUAGCAUGUUUGCCUCACACCUCCAGGGUUGCUGGUUCAAUUCCAGGCUCUGCCC